This 503-nucleotide long non-coding RNA is filed under the name Numida meleagris (helmeted guineafowl). RNAcentral describes it as "lncRNA (ENSNMEG00000002244.1)". Lineage: Eukaryota; Metazoa; Chordata; Aves; Galliformes; Numididae. The record is from RNAcentral.
ACACAAGUUAUACUUGCUUUAUAGUACAGGCUUAGUUCUGUCAUGUACCUUCUUUGCUCUCUGGUAUGUUGCUCCAGAGCCAAUGUAGUUAAGGCUACACUGUUUUGAGCUAAGUGCAUCCUUUACAGAUACAAAUCCCUUUUCUAAAAGGGGAAAAGAGAAGGAUAUUGUGAGUGACAGCUCAGUCUGAGCUUUGCAUCUAAGCAAAACUCCAGACCACGUGCAAGGCAGGAAGUGAAUUACAGAGCUUCAGAAAUAGAGCAGAAACCCACAUUCUGCUUGCAAAUGUACAGUUCAUGGCUCCCACAGGGGCUGUAGCUCAGCCCCCUGCAACACAGGCAGCAGUUUGGGUGUGAAAUAACAUGCUAAAGCUAUACUGUAAUGUAUGUUCACUACAGGGCUGUGUUACAGCAGAUAGGAAGCUUGUGACUGCUUGGAAUACCUGUUGGAAGGCUGCACUGAGAAUCAAGGAAGCUGAGUCUGGAGACUAUCCCUCCUGCUGA